AUUUGAUGAGCUAACAACUGAA
This 22-nucleotide small nuclear RNA is filed under the name Arabidopsis thaliana (thale cress). RNAcentral describes it as "snRNA_14916". The record is from RNAcentral. Lineage: Eukaryota; Viridiplantae; Streptophyta; Magnoliopsida; Brassicales; Brassicaceae.